Paramisgurnus dabryanus is the source of this 498-nucleotide long non-coding RNA. RefSeq lists it as uncharacterized. NCBI's taxonomy places the organism in Eukaryota, Metazoa, Chordata, Actinopteri, Cypriniformes, Cobitidae. The record is from RefSeq and is a predicted model, not a curated record.
AAAGACAGCACAGCAUAAAACCAGACAGAGGAGGAGAGGACGUUUGCCAAAUCAGAACUGCUGAACAGCCCUAAGAGGUUUGAAAGUGGAGGUCCUAUCUCUCCACCGAUAAGGCUCGGGGAGUGAGAAACAGACGUGUUGGGAAGCAUCCUGUGGAAAUGUAACAGGUUGGAGCUCUUAGCGGCCCAUCUAUGGCAAGAGGAGUGCAAAACUAUUCACAGACAGCAUGCCGUGAUGUUAUCAGCUAAUCGUUUUUGGAACAGACCGAGGAGUCUUGUGGGUCGGAUUAUUGGUGGUGGUGUUGAAUUGAGGGGGAUUUGCCUGAGGAGACAAGGUCAACAUGAAGCUGUGCUCUCUCCAAACAAAGUGUCUUCACCUGUUGAUUCCUCCUCACAUGAAUGCUGGUCCGAGGAUGAUGAGUCUAACACGAGCACACAGGAAGAGAUGCGCCUCUGUGCGCUCUCAGGUCCGGUCUUACGCACCGACAGAGAUGAACCG